AACGCAUAUUGCGCCCUUUGGUAUUCCGAAGGGCAUGCCUGUUCGAGCGUCAUUAUCAAUCAUCAAGCCUGGCUUGUUGUUGGACCCCUUUGCAACUGAAACAUGUGGCAGGUCCGAAAGAUAAUGACGGUGUCAUGUUUGACCCUAGAUGCAACGAGCUUUUUAUAGCACGCAUUGAUGUGGUCGAUUGACCCGGUCUUAACUAUAAUUUUCUAAGGUUGACCUCGGAUCAGGUAGGAAUACCCGCUGAACUUAA
This 256-nucleotide unclassified non-coding RNA is filed under the name uncultured fungus. RNAcentral describes it as "partial contains 5.8S ribosomal RNA, internal transcribed spacer 2, and large subunit ribosomal RNA". The stretch from base 1 to 52 matches the Rfam family "5.8S ribosomal RNA", at positions 103 to 154 of the family's 154-position model. Lineage: Eukaryota; Fungi. The record is from RNAcentral.